AAGCAAAAUCGACUAGUAAGUUCGUACUCUUUUCUCGAAUUGCUUCUCGCCCGUGUUAGGAGUUCGUAAAUCGCUCGCGAUCGAUCGAGCCUGGGAAUCGAAUUCGUUUCUUUGCACGCUCUGGCGAGCACGAGAACGUAGUCAAGGUGUUGCUUCAUACAUAUGUGAAAAAAAAAAGAAACAUAUGUGGGUUCAGAGUGAUUUUAUAAUCUUGAUUGAUUGAUUUGCGAGCUCGAACGAUAUGAUGGAUCGUUCAAUCGUGUUAUGGAGAUAUUGACGAGGAAUGGAGGUUAAAUGGAAUGGUGGUCAUGUUUAGAGUAUUUCCAUUUUGUUCUAAUUUAUUAAUCGAAUUACUUUUUUGUUUAUUUUAAUGCUCGUACUUAAAAAUUUAAAAUAAUUUGUAACCUUAAUUGAAAAAUACUAUUUCAAUCGAUAAUCAAAUAUCAUAAUAUAAUUAUAUUGAAAUAAGCAAAUACUGAAAAUCUCUUAAUGAAAGUUCUUCAAAAAAAGUUUCGUAUAAGGAUCGCCAUUUAUAAUUUUUAUUUGUAAUUAUCUGAAAUUUACGAAAGUUGAGAUUUUAAGAACAUAAUACAUACAAAUUAUUGUAUAUAUUAAAAUACAUAGCGAUUCAUAUAAUAUAAACGAAAAUUAAUUUCGUAUUUGUCUUGCAAUAAAAAUCUUCUCUAUUUUAUGUUAUAUUAAUUCACAUUAAAUUUAUUCUAUAAAAUUGCCAUAGAUAAAAUUAUUAUUUUCAAUGUAAUCGAAAUGCUAAUUGCUUACGUGAGUACAAUAAUUAUCAAGGCUUUUACAAAUUUGCAAAGUUUGAUUUGAGGUUAUAUUUCAAUUAUUGAAAAAAUAUCAAAUAUUAUUGCCUAUUUUACUAGACACUUACUUUAGAUUUGAUUUAGAUUACUUUAGACUAAUUAGAUAGUAAGAUAAAAUGGAUUUUAUUUAUUUUUAUUCAAAAUAAUUUCUAUCGCCUAUGCAUUAUAUAUGGGUAUAUUUAAUUAAUAAUACAUAUAGAUAGAUACACAAUUACUACGUAUCAAUUUUCAGAUAAAUUUUAUGAAGAAUUCGUGGAAAGCAUGUUAAUCGCACAUGAUUAAGGCAGUGAAUAUAUUAAUUACGAACGAUAUCGAGUUGAAUCCAUUAUACUUUCAACCGAGUUAAGUGAAAACAAGAUAUAAAAGUUCGAAAGUGCAUCGUUUUUCAUAAAUCAUAAUGCAAUAUUCAUAGAAGAACGAGAAGUUUUCUUCUUUUUCAUUACAUUAAUCGCAUCUUAUAAACUUCUGUUGUUCACAACUAGUUCAUCGAUGCAACCUGUAAUCGCAGAAUCGUGUGUGCUCAUUUGCCUUGGAGGAAUACGUGCGCUACCAAUUAAAUCAGGCUAAACUGAAGUCGGUUCUAAGAUAAUAUCAAAAUGACUUCUCUGCGCAUUAACUAGCUCGAUAGACACGAUGAAUGAAGCAUAAAUCAAAGUGAAACGAAGAGAAAUAGAUUAUCGGAAGUCGAAGACUGACUAUUGAUUUCUGGGGAGACCAGGAAGUUUAUUCAUGGAAGAACAAGAAGCUUCUUCUUCAUUUAUGUUCAUCCUUCAGUUCCACAAAUAUAUAGUAAAUAAUUCAACGUAACUCGCACAACAUGCAAUCUCAAUCAUAUUUACGAUCACGCGAGCGAAUCGAAACGUAGAAAUUAUUAUGUUCGUGGUAUCGUAUUGAAAGUCCAAAGAAAAGAGGAGAGCUCCUAUUUCCAAGAGACAGUUCGUCGGUUAAUCGAGCGUGCGCUCGAAUUCAACUCGACAUGACAUAACGAUUCGCCGCCAAUUGAUUAAACUUAACGACGAUUAAGAGAAGGCAAAAUGUUGACAUAAAUUUCUAUUAAAGGGUCAUGGGACCGUGUGUAACUGCCGUCGCCAAGAAGCAUUCCUGUUGGAUUAUAUUCAGUUUAAGGAACAAAUAGAAAAGCAUAUAUCAAAGAUGAUACAAUGGAAACGAAUAUUAAUAGAAAGAAGUUUGGAAGAAGAAAAGAUUGCAAGCUCAGAUUUUUCUCAAGGUUGCAAAUGGUACGAUACCGGUGUGUUUCGAUCUUCAAGAGAUAGGUACUUACGUACAAUAAUUCCCUAUAUCCAAGUUAUGCAUGCGGUUUACCUUGUGACAUCUCUUGGCUGCAGCCACGCGCCUUUCUAAUGCGAAUCUCGAACACGACGUAACUGCCUCGACUUAUCUAUCUACAGGGUGUUCUAAACGUAACCUUUCAAAUUUUUCGUGAUAAAUUUAUCACUUGUUAUCAUACGAUAAUCUCUAUUUAUUAAAUGUUAAAAUUCAUAUCAUUGAAAUUAUAUGUUAAACCUCUUUAAGAUGAAAAAUUAAUUCAUUUGUAUUUAUUUUGAAUUUUAUGUUUUUCUUAUACAUUUGUGUUGUAAAUAUUAUAUCUUAGAAAUUGUAGAGUUUGAACAUGUAAUUAAAAUUACUAAUAAUAUAUUAAUUUAUGCUAA
Apis cerana (Asiatic honeybee) is the source of this 2494-nucleotide long non-coding RNA. RefSeq lists it as uncharacterized. NCBI's taxonomy places the organism in Eukaryota, Metazoa, Arthropoda, Insecta, Hymenoptera, Apidae. The record is from RefSeq and is a predicted model, not a curated record.